AGACCAGGGGCGACUGGUCCAGCUCGUCCAUGGUGCCUGGAGCGGGCGGAACAAUGAGCGCGGCGCCGGGGCUGCGCCUCUGCCGGCUGCGGGGGGAGGGCGCGGGCUGCGCUGCGGGACCGGCUCCACGCCCUGGCGCUUCCUGUUCUGGACUUGUUUCUAACAUCCCAUGGGAGUUUGUGUGGACUGACCUCAGCUGAGCCAAUUUUUCUAUUUUCUCCCCUCCGUUAUCAUCUUGAAAAAUCAAACCAGUCCGUUUUUACAGCUCAUGUUUGCUGUUACGGAGUGCCUAGGCAUCCCUGUCAAGAACCAAGGCUCACUGGGUUAUGCAAUGUCCUGGCAUGUUAAGAAGUCAUCAGCUCCUCCUACACACAGUUCACAAGGCACAAUGUAACAGGUGGAUGAAAGACAUGUUAUGUGGGGGUGUUUUGGAAAAAUGAGGCAGCAACAAGCCAAGGAGGACAGUGGAAAAGCAGCAGUCAUUUUGCCUCCUACCUUUAUUGGCUCAUUGUGCUGGGGGUCUGUUUCCCAGUCCUUCUCCACGUGGCAGAGAUUUCUGUGGCAGUCGGCUGGUAACACGAGCGAGUGCCAUCCAAACCGCAAGCAAGCAACGCCUUCGCUGUAAUUGCCACCACAGGUACGCUGGAAUUGCUACAACCAAGCAAUCAUUUGUAGCAUAGUGAAACAAGGUACGGCUUAGUUUGUGCUUGUCGGAGGGUCUGUAGGAGUUUUCACAACAGAGAAUCAACAGCGCUUUUAUUUUAGCAACACGAGCUGUUCAAGUGAUGGUAUUUAAGGAAUGAGGUCACAUAUUCAAGCUGUUUAGAUAUAACAGUGUUCAGAGAUGUCAGUCAGGCUCCAAGCAGAUAAAAAGUGCAUCCUCUUAUCACCCAGGCAUUUCUAGUGCUGCUGCGCUUCUCACGUUUAAUAAAGCACAGCGUGGAAAAUGAACUCCGUCCUGGCACAGACGGAUGCUUCUGAAGCCAUUUACAAUAUAUAGCACCGCUGGAAAAUAUGAAUUAUAAGACUUCAUGCACUCCGUGGUUCGAGGGAAAAAUCGAUGUUCGUACCUGGAUUGGAAGUUUUUCUCCGUAUUAGGUCGGAUUUCAGUAGGAUGGAUUUUGUAGCAGGGAAUCCUGGGCAACAAAACACCUACAUUGGUAAAUAACACUAUAUUGGUAUACAAAACACUAUAUUGGUAAACUUACCCAGUAGUGUAAAGCACCAAUCUGAAUCUGUAACUUCAUCCAGGUACAUUUAAUUAACACAGAAGAUUCGUACCAAGGUUUUUGGCCAAUGGCAGAAUAUGCUGGACAUUCUCAUGCGUCUACAGAAAGAUCAGCGGUUAGUCUUAAAUUUUUAUGAAACAGUUAAUUUCAAAUAAAUUUCCCGUGACUUCUUAAACGCCAACCAGCUUCACCCAUACACACAAGCAACUUUUACCCAAUGAGAUAUAUCAGCCUGUGUUGCUUAACAACAAUAUUUAUACGGAUAAAGAAUUGGCUCCAGAGAGAUGACCUGAAUUAACCCCGAGAACAUGCUUCCACUCUAGCUCCCAUUAUUUCUGGGCAUCCCCAAGGGACUGUAACACUAACCCUAGCAAGAGACCAGAAGCCUAAGAAGAAUUAAGUACAACUGAAAGAUCACAACUUCAUACAGUUCCUCGCAUUAUCCUGUUUAACAUUUGCUACAGUGAACAAAAAUAGAAAAAGGUGUAUAGGAAAAAAUAUUCAGCGGGGACUAGAUUCACAGCAGUCAUGCAUGCUACGUGGUAAAAUCCUUCAUUUCCCAGUAAACCUGGGAGUUAUUACACUAAAAUCUGACCAAGUAAAACUAACAAUAGAGUAAUUCUUUCUCUCCUGCUUUUAACCUGGGCAGCAUCACCUGAACUGCGUGAUACUCAGUAUUAAUGCACCCUCAGCAAGUUUGCAGAUGACACCAAGCUGAGUGGUGCAGAGGAAGGGGCAGCCAUUCAGAGGGACCUGGACAGGGCAAAAUCAAACAGAGCCAAUUAUUUUCUGCUAGAAAAAGAUACUUUCACUGACAUGACUACAAUUAUUCAUGCUUGUUUCUGCACUUUAUCGUUCUUUUUUUUUCUUUCUGCCCAACAACAACAGACAUAGAUAGCUUUUGUCCUUUCCUCAUUACAAAAUAAAAUUAAAGCUUGUCUGAAAAAGACUGAGCUUUCUUCUGGGAGCUUUCUUGUUGCUGCUGUGGCACUCUUUGUUUUCUCCUUUGUUUAGUCUGCGUGUGGAGGCUGCUUACCUGAACCUUCCCCAAACAACUGUUACGACUCAGGCUAAACACAGAAAGCAAUUUGUACCUCAUCUCCCUGACAGAUGUACAAAUCCGUUAUCUUUGUUGAAAAAGAGGAAAACAUGUUGCUAGCUACUGAAGAUAUCUUGCUGAUAGACAAACCUGUCUCCCUAGGCACUAAGUCCAGGAUAGCUCCCUGCUCCGAAGGCGCUCACUGGAUUCUUCCCUUUCUUUGGAACUCUCCCUAUGGUGGAAACUGAUGCAAGGAUGCAC
Molecule: long non-coding RNA, 2529 nt
Organism: Numida meleagris (helmeted guineafowl)
Lineage: Eukaryota; Metazoa; Chordata; Aves; Galliformes; Numididae
Exons: 4
Source: RefSeq, a predicted model, not a curated record